UAUUGCGCAAUGGAGGAAACUCUGACGCAGUGACGCCGCGUAUAGGAAGAAGGUUUUCGGAUUGUAAACUAUUGUCCACAGGGAAGAUAUAAGACUGUACCUGUGAAGAAAGCUCCGGCUAACUACGUGCCAGCAGCCGCGGUAAUACGUAGGGAGCAAGCGUUAUCCGGAAUUAUUGGGUGUAAAGGGUGCGUAGACGGGAUAACAAGUUGGUUGUGAAACCCCUCGGCUCAACUGAGGAACUGCAACCAAAACUAUUAUUCUUGAGUGCAGGAGAGGAAAGUGGAAUUCCUAGUGUAGCGGUGAAAUGCGUAGAUAUUAGGAAGAACACCGGUGGCGAAGGCGACUUUCUGGACUGUAACUGACGUUGAGGCACGAAAGUGUGGGGAGCAAACAGGA
This 399-nucleotide ribosomal RNA is filed under the name uncultured bacterium. Its description in RNAcentral is "bacterial SSU rRNA". It matches the Rfam family "Bacterial small subunit ribosomal RNA", at positions 362 to 777 of the family's 1533-position model. The record is from RNAcentral.